Molecule: long non-coding RNA, 2023 nt
Filed under: Sus scrofa (pig)
Lineage: Eukaryota; Metazoa; Chordata; Mammalia; Artiodactyla; Suidae
Description: lncRNA (ENSSSCG00050068930.1)
Source: RNAcentral
GGAUCAGAUCUGAGCCACAGUUGCAACCUAUGCCAGAGCUGUGGCAACACCAGAUCCUUAACCCACUGUGCAGGGUUGGGGAUCAAACCUGCAUCCCAGCACUGCAGAUACACCACUGAUUUCAUUGCACCUCAGUGGGAACUCCAGCAAUUAAUUUUUAAUUAAGACAUACUUUUUUUCAGACAUAUUGCUGCAUGCUUGGAGUAUAAUGUAAACAUAACUAUUAUAUGCACUGAAAAACAAAUAGUGCGACUCACUUUAUGGUGACAUUCACUUUAUCGCAAUGGUCUAGAACUAAACCCGCAAUAUCUGAGUUAUGCUUGUGCACACAAUUCUUGACAAACUAAUUUGCACCCAAAUACAAAUACAUAAUAGUAUACUAUGUCUACCUUGGGGAAUCAGGGAUUUGCAAAGUUUUAAGGCAGCUACCACUUCUCCAGUAGUCCUGAGAGUGGAGAGCUUGGAGAAGCCCAGGCUAUCUAAAAGAUGUUUGUUAAAGACCCAACAAAUGUUUCCAGCCUCUGGUAUUCCACGGCCUUUGUUAGGAUUUAUACUAAUCGACUUGCAUUGUCUCCAUUUCAAAAUUAGCACUAAUUGUUUCUUAAAGGUCAAAUGUUAAAACUUGGCUCAGUAAUGUGUUUGUUUAGGUGUUUUUCUUUUCUUUUGAUGGAGUAGAAACGUGCCUCAAUUUACAAAAACCUGCGAUAUAAAAAUCCGAACACAUGGAGCAUGCAAAUAAGCAAGUGAUUACAGCCAUUAUAGUAGAAAGUUUUUUUUUUCAAUUCCUGUAAAAAUAUAAUUGAACGGCUUGAUCACAUCAAGACUGUAUCUUCAUAGCACUUCAGACACUCAGAGAUGAGGUCUUGCUCUCACAUAUGAUAUAUGACUUCCUUCCUCUCCACAUAUUUACAGAAGCUUGCAUGUGUCUGCAUGUGUGUACAGGGGAUGAUUUUGUUAUUUUUGGUUUGUUUUCUGGGGUGAUUUUGCCUGCCCAGAAACCAAAAGAAGAAAUUUUAAAACACUAUCACCUAGAAAUUAGUUACAACUGAUGUCCCAAAAAGAAAUCUAGCACCCUCUUAGAAGGACAAAGCUGACCUUCCACUUCUGAUUCACCGAUAGUGACUUGUGACUGUCACUCCUUACAGCGUUCCCCUGAAACAGAAGUAACAUGACUAAUAUGACUGAACUGGGCAGCUCCUAAUUUCUUGUCCUCGCUCAGGGAACAGACUUUUCACCAGUACAAAUCACUGAGCCUGAAGGAAGGUUCUUCAUUCAAGUCAUUUGUGAAGAGAACUGGGGUCAGUAGAGGAAAACCCCUGUUUCUCUAUCUCAAAUUCAGAGAGAUAAAUAUGUUAGUUUUGUCCUUCAGCUGGGGCUAAAAUUCACCUGAUGCCCAUAGAUAUGGAGAGAGAGUAAUCAAUUAGCUAUUACCCUAUCAAAAAAUCUGAAAGAAUCACCAGAUAUCCUUUCUGACUAAACAGGCGCAAUAACUGCCUCAAGCUCAACUGCUAUUUUUCAGAAAGUGUCAGUUGAAACAUUGUAAUUACUCAACAGAUAAAUCUCAUUCCAAUCUAAUUAAUUCAAAUAUGAAAAAGCCAUAUAUGAAUGAUUAUACUACAUUGAUUCAUCAUCAUUUUAAGAAAUGGUUAAUUAUUUCAUUGGUAUUCUCAAGACAUUAAGUUGAAUUUCAAUUUAAAAACUAAAAAAUCAUUCGGUAAGCAAUUAAGACAUAUUUGAUUAACCUAGCAAAAAUAUUUUAUGUAAUAUUAAAAAUCCAAAUAGCUUUCAGAAGUUUAUAUAGUAAAAAAAAAUAGUUUCUGAAAUACUUAGUUACAAGGGAAAGAAACAAUAGACUAGAUAUAUACACCGGAACAUGGAUAGGCCUUAAAAAUAGUGCUGAGUGACAUAGUAAGAAACAAUGAUAUAUAACAGGUACAUAAAUUUAAAAUGCAUGCCCAUAAACCACAAUGUGCAUUUUAUUAACACUUAAGCAAAAGAAAGCAUGUGCAGCAAAUUCAUUAGA